GCUCGUAGUUGGAUUUCGGAUGGGUUCCGUCGGUCCGCCGUUUCGGUGUGCCUGACGGCGCCUAUCUUGCUGCCGGGGACGGGCUCCUGGGCUUAACUGUCCGGGACUCGGAGUCGGCGAGGUUACUUUGAGUAAAUUAGAGUGUUCAAAGCAGGCCUACGCUCUGAAUACAUUAGCAUGGAAUAACACGAUAGGACUCUGGCCUAUCUUGUUGGUCUGUAGGACCGGAGUAAUGAUUAAGAGGGACAGUCGGGGGCAUUCGUAUUUCAUUGUCAAAGGUGAAAUUCUUGGAUUUAUGAAAGACGAACUACU
Molecule: ribosomal RNA, 312 nt
Filed under: Pseudochlorella pringsheimii
Lineage: Eukaryota; Viridiplantae; Chlorophyta; Trebouxiophyceae; Chlorellales; Chlorellaceae
Description: SSU rRNA
Rfam family: Eukaryotic small subunit ribosomal RNA
Source: RNAcentral